CAGUUAAAUAUAUGUUAUGGGUAGGAAUUACUCUAUGACAGUAGGGCACCACAUUUCUUUAUGCUUUGUAUCUAAUGUUUAAUCCCUCUUAGCACCUACUUACCAAGAUUAAUGAAAAGUCAAGCCUUAAUUUUUUUUUCAGGACUCUCCCUAAUACUGUGGGAUCAUAGGAGAAUCCUGAGACAUACCCAGGAAACUGAAGAAGGGGAACUGAAAUGUUUGUCAAAGGAAGCCAGAAGAAUAGAUGAGAAACAAGGUCGGGGGCGGAAACAGAGACAAAGAAGUUUGGCAAGAAGCACAGCGGUUUAUAUACUGUGCUGUUCUGUGAUUCAUUUUACACUGACUUACCAUGUGAAGACAAUGAGUGCCACUCUGGCAAAGGGUUUGCCAAGCAAGGAUGUCAACUGGGUUUCAGAAUCCUCUAACUUACUAGACUAA
RNAcentral lists this long non-coding RNA (438 nucleotides) under Felis catus (domestic cat). Its description in RNAcentral is "lncRNA (ENSFCAG00000053016.1)". Lineage: Eukaryota; Metazoa; Chordata; Mammalia; Carnivora; Felidae. The record is from RNAcentral.